UCUCUUGACUUUGUGCGGUUUGAGCAUGCAGCAAGGACGCUUCCCCGUGCCAGUGCCCCCACGUGGACUUCUAGACUCUGCGGCUGUAAAUCACCAUACAGUCUACUCAGCUGUCACAGCAUACACGGAGCAGAGGAUAAAAGCCACCUCGAAACCUGGUGCUUCUCUAUCACAGAAGCUGUGAUAAUGUAUUAAGGACAUUUCUAAGAGAUGAUGUUAGAAAUUCCAAACUGUGGCAGAAGGCCCAGCCAUCCCUGUUCUUUCCUUUUAGAACAGAGUGCAUGAGUAGUUACAGAAAUGAAUGGAAUGGACUUUACAUCUGGAGCUAAAAAGGCAGGGGUCCACGGUGGGUGAGCAUUCCCUACCUUCAACACAGAUGCUAUCACAAAGAUGGAUUCACAGUCAAGGUGGACUUCAAUUCCAGAAUUUAGUUUCUCCUUUAGCUCUCUGCAAGAUUUCAUGUUGGCCGACUGCCUGAAGAUGCCUUUUGUGAGGGGGCCUUUUUGGUUAAGGAAGGAAAGCAUAUCCUGCGAGGAAGCAGAGGAAGUAAACUAAGGUGAUGCUCUACACACAUGAGCACAGGAGCAGGUUCUGGCCUUCCGAGGCUGUCAGAAGGCCAGGGUGUAUACACGGAAGGACCGGAGCUGGACGGAUGGCUAGAAGGAUUCAAAAAAUGAAAAAAGCCAGAAAUUUCCAAAAAGGCACUCUCCACGAAAGCCUAUAAAGCAAACACUGAGAAACUAAGUGAGGCGUGGCUGCUGCAGAGAAGGUGGCUCAAGUGAUCCGGAGCGGGGGCUUUAACUACUCUCUUCCUCCGUCAUUUACCCUGAGCAUCAAGGAUGCAAGCACCAUCUUCAUUUCCAAUAGAAAACAAGAGAAUGCAAGUCAGUGAACAGAGCAGACAAAACCCCAAGUAAUUACUGUAAUGAAAGAAAAACGAAGAAAACCGUGAGUUUAAAGGUAGAAGAGUCAGAAUAUCAUUUCCCUUGGCUUGGUUAAAUUCUUACGGGAAUUUUUCAUUCAUCUACUUAAAGGCCCAUUAACUUGUUCAUUCAUCCAGUAAGUAUUUACUGAAUACUUAGAUUCUUCAGACUAGCAUCUGGCCUUCUCAUUUUAGGGGAUAAAAUAAGGGUCUUUCCAAAGCAGCACCUCAAAAUAACUCAAAAGAUGUGCCCAAUCAGCCUUGGAACCCCAAACUCAAUUUACCGUCAUAGGAGAGAGAACGAGGGCUGGUACAGAUUUAGUACAUUUGCACAGCUGAUGUCUGCUCUGACUGCGGUGAGGUGUAACAUCUAGGGCCAGGCCAUCAGGCACUGGCAGGGUUGGCCUGUGUUUGGAGGUAUGCAUGAAACAGGUGAUUCAGGUUGCCCAGUCAGGAUGAAUGUCUGUCUGGGGUUGGUCAUUAGUGACGAUGCCAAGCUGCCCUUCUGCUGUAAGGUUUCUUUAAAGUGCUCAGCAGUCAUCUAGAGACGGGACUGUCCUAGGCAUGCAGUGAAGUGAGUGGGGAGGAAAGAGAGCUCAAGUUGUCUGCGAUAGACAUUGUGGUAACUGAAAGGUUCAGGCCAUGUAUGGAUACAGAAGCAGGUAAGCACAUGCGGGAGAUGUGGUGAGAAAGCGGGAGACUGGGUAGGUGAGGGAAAGGAAUACGGAGUAGAACUGGGAGGUGAGAGGAAAUAUGGGCUUGCAGAUGGGAUAAGCGUAAGGAGCAAAAGCUUUUGCAACAACAACAGCUACACACUUUUUUUUUAGCCCAAUAAAACAUCAGAACU
RNAcentral lists this long non-coding RNA (1769 nucleotides) under Mus pahari (shrew mouse). RNAcentral's name for it is "lncRNA (MGP_PahariEiJ_G0002278.1)". The record is from RNAcentral. Lineage: Eukaryota; Metazoa; Chordata; Mammalia; Rodentia; Muridae.